RNAcentral lists this ribosomal RNA (1377 nucleotides) under uncultured bacterium. RNAcentral's name for it is "bacterial SSU rRNA". It matches the Rfam family "Bacterial small subunit ribosomal RNA", at positions 28 to 1381 of the family's 1533-position model. The record is from RNAcentral.
GAUGAACGCUGGCGGCAUGCCUAAUACACGCAAGUCGAACGGACUAAUUAAAAUCGAUUUCUUCGGAAUGAUUUUUUAUGCGGUUAGUGGCGAACGGGUGAGUAACACGUAGGUAACCUGCCCAUUUUGUGAGGAAUAACUAUUAGAAAUGAUAACUAAUGCCUCAUAGGUGAGAAAGAUGGCAUCAUCUUCUCAUUAAAGUUGGUUUUCAACGCAAAUGGAUGGACCUGCGGUGCAUUAGCUAGUUGGUGAGGUAAAGGCUCACCAAGGCCAUGAUGCAUAGCCGACCUGAGAGGGUGAACGGCCACAUUGGGACUGAGACACGGCCCAAACUCCUACGGGAGGCAGCAGUAGGGAAUUUUCCACAAUGGGCGAAAGCCUGAUGGAGCAAUGCCGCGUGAGUGAUGACGGUCUUCGGAUUGUAAAGCUCUGUUAUAAGAAAAGAAUACAUUAAUUAGGAAAUGAAUUAGUGAGUGACUAUCUUAUCAGAAAGCCACGGCUAACUACGUGCCAGCAGCCGCGGUAAUACGUAGGUGGCAAGCGUUAUCCGGAAUUAUUGGGCGUAAAGGGUGCGCAGGCGGUUUAUUAAGUCUAAGGUAAAAUCUUGAAGCUCAACUUCAUUAAGCCUUGGAAACUGGUAAACUAGAGGAUAGAAGAGGGCAACAGAAUUCCAUGUGUAGUGGUAAAAUGCGUUGAUAUAUGGAGGAACACCGGCGGGCGAAGGCGGUUGCCUGGUCUAUCACUGACGCUCAUGCACGAAAGCGUGGGGAGCAAAUAGGAUUAGAUACCCUAGUAGUCCACGCCGUAAACGAUGAGAACUAAGUGUUGGGGUUAGAACCUCAGUGCUGCAGUUAACGCAAUAAGUUCUCCGCCUGGGGAGUAUGCACGCAAGUGUGAAACUCAAAGGAAUUGACGGGAGUCUGCACAAGUGGUGGAGUAUGUGGUUUAAUUCGACGCAACGCGAAGAACCUUACCAGGUCUUGACAUGGUGAUAAAGGCUUUAGAGAUAGAGAGAUAGUUAUAUCACACACAGGUGGUGCAUGGUUGUCGUCAGCUCGUGUCGUGAGAUGUUGGGUUAAGUCCCGCAACGAGCGCAACCCUUGUCUUUAGUUACCAUCAUUAAGUUGGGGACUCUAGAGAGACUGCCGGUGACAAAUCGGAGGAAGGUGGGGAUGACGUCAAAUCAUCAUGCUCCUUAUGACCUGGGCUACACACGUACUACAAUGGCGAUUACAAAAAAGUUUGCAAGAUGGUGACAUUUAGCUAAUCUAUUAAAGAUCGUCUCAGUUCGGAUUGAAGUCUGCAACUCGACUUCAUGAAGUUGGAAUCACUAGUAAUCGUAGAUCAGCAUGCUACGGUGAAUACGUUCUCAGACUU